GAAAAUUUGCCAAAUGUCCUCCUCUCAUUUUCUCUCAGAAAAACCUAAUACAGAUCCACAAUUGUUGUCCACUCUCUGAUCUUAACAUGGUAUCAGAGCCAUGAAAUCAUCGAUCCUUCACCUCGUAGUUUUAGCUGUGUUGAUUUUGGAGAUCUUAUUCUAUUAAAUACUGAAUUUUUUCUUCAUUUGGUCUUAGCGGUCAAAGUUUUUCGAUUUGUUGUCUUUUUUACUGGUUUCGUUGCUCGCCUACAUUGGAAUUUCAUCAAAAUCUAAGGAAUUUGUGGCGAUUCUUUCUUCAAUCAGAGUUUUUGGAGGAUUUUGUUCGAAGCUAG
This 332-nucleotide long non-coding RNA is filed under the name Nicotiana benthamiana. Its description in RNAcentral is "long non-coding RNA (NBEN_LNC027787)". The record is from RNAcentral. Lineage: Eukaryota; Viridiplantae; Streptophyta; Magnoliopsida; Solanales; Solanaceae.